This is a non-coding RNA of Epinephelus lanceolatus (giant grouper), 417 nucleotides long. NCBI's taxonomy places the organism in Eukaryota, Metazoa, Chordata, Actinopteri, Perciformes, Serranidae. The record is from RefSeq and is a predicted model, not a curated record.
UCCUGGGACAUCUGGUGGCUGGAUGGAAAAUGUUGCUUCUUGAGGCAGGAGUGGAGAGACAGAUUUCUGGCAGACAGCCUGGGGACUGGGUCAAUGGGUGUGACAAAAGGAUGACCAGGACACAGGGUUGAAGGAAGGGCAGACCACUAGGAAGAACAGUCUGUCUCUGUGUGUUUGCUGGCCAUGGCCUCCUGGUUCCCUCCUCCUGCCAGCAGCUGCUGAACCUGUACACCUGAACCACAUCUGCAAUCAAGCCACUGCAGAAUAAAACCCCGGCUCAAACAUCCAGACUCCGGCAGAUGGUUCCAUCUUCUCAGUGGUUCACCAUGCCAGCCUUCACCAUUCCCUGCUCACCUCAGCCAUCAUUUCAUUCAAGCCUUCAGCUCCACUUCUUCCAAUAAACUGCCUUUAACCAUC